CGGAAUCCACAGGUAAAAUCGAAUCUAUGUUGCUUCAAAAGUUAUUCCCUUUUGUCUGUUCUCGGCUAGAACAAGGUCUGGUCAAAAUAAGAAUGUUUUUUGUUCCAUUUUAGUUGGAGUUUGGGUUUUCAAAUCUAGGCCAGAUUAGUUGGAUUUAAUAAUUUGGUUUCUAAGGUGCAGCAGCCAUAUGAUCUCCCAACAAGGAGGAUCUUGCAACAACGACAUUGAUCAAGAAUUGGAUGUUGGAAAUUAUGGUUUGGCAUUGUUACUUCUCUUACUCCUGUUUCAUGUCCCAAUCUGAGGUGACUCGUGUUGGUAAUCAUGUAAUUUUUCCUUCGUGCUUCUAUUCUUCCUAUACGCUUUAGGCAUGGCAUGUUGUGCACUAACAUUUUGAUUAACAAUACAACACAUGGUCAUACAUAUGGUAUUGUUGCACUAUUUUUUUGUUGCAACGCAC
RNAcentral lists this long non-coding RNA (457 nucleotides) under Zea mays. RNAcentral describes it as "long non-coding RNA (ZMAY_LNC001415)". Lineage: Eukaryota; Viridiplantae; Streptophyta; Magnoliopsida; Poales; Poaceae. The record is from RNAcentral.